UACGUAGGUGGCAAGCGUUGUCCGGAUUUAUUGGGCGUAAAGCGCCCGCAGGCGGCUUGGUAAGUUUCAGGUGAAAUCUCCCGGCUCAACCGGGAGGGGUUCUGGAAAACUACCAGGCUUGAGGCAGGGAGGGGAAUGCGGAAUUCCAGGUGUAGCGGUGAAAUGCGUAGAUAUCUGGAGGAACAUCAGCGGCGAAGGCGGCAUUCUGGCCCUGUCCUGACGCUCAGGGGCGAAAGCGUGGGGAGCAAAC
This 250-nucleotide ribosomal RNA is filed under the name uncultured bacterium. RNAcentral's name for it is "partial 16S ribosomal RNA". It matches the Rfam family "Bacterial small subunit ribosomal RNA", at positions 524 to 773 of the family's 1533-position model. The record is from RNAcentral.